This 756-nucleotide long non-coding RNA is filed under the name Rattus norvegicus (Norway rat). RNAcentral describes it as "long non-coding RNA NONRATT031229". The record is from RNAcentral. Lineage: Eukaryota; Metazoa; Chordata; Mammalia; Rodentia; Muridae.
GGAAGUACUUUUCGCAUAGGCAAACGCGCCUUCUGUAAAAACCUUAUCUAGAACAAACACGACUGUGAUGCAAGAAUAGUGUGGAGAUGUGGUUAGACAAAAUAAUCCACUGCUCAGAAGCGUCUGUUUUGGAUUACUCCUGUGAUUUGUCUAUGAGGGUUUUUUUUUUUUAUUUAUUAAUACUGUUUUUCUCUUGUAAAAAUGCCAUGCCAGACACUCAGAUGCAAAAGUAAAUAUAUAACGUAGUAAGAGAAACUCAGUCUUUUCUGGGCCCCCAAGAACUUAGUUUUUCAAGAUAGUCAUCCUUAUCUUAAGUAACCCCGAGGUGGAGGUGCAGACUUAGGAGAAAAUGAUCCUGGUAUUCUCUUCCAUAGUGACAGCUGAAAACGAAAUGUAAGGGCUAUCAAGAAAACAGACAAUCCAAUACAUUUUCCAUUGUCAUACAAGGAGUUUUUGUUUCUCCUACAACAGUUUUGUGGCUUACCUCUGCUGUUGGUACACAUCUCUCUCUUCUCUCUCUGUCUCUCUCUGUCUCUCUGUCUCUCUGUCUCUGUCUCUCUCUCUCCAUAUAUAUGUGUGUGUAUAUAUAUGAUAUAUAUGUAUAUAUAUAUGUGUGUGUGUGUGUGUAUGUGGGGUGUGUGUGUGUGUGUCCGUCCAUCCAUCCAUAUAUGUCUACGGAUGGAUGAAUGGAUUCCAAUUCUAAAGGGCUCCCUCAGAUGGCUGGAGACUGUUCCCCAGAGGAGUCACUGGAAACGA